UCCGGUUUGUCACCGGCAGUCUCCCUAGAGUUCUCAGCCGAACUGCUAGCAACUAGGGAUAGGGGUUGCGCUCGUUACGGGACUUAACCCAACAUCUCACGACACGAGCUGACGACGGCCAUGCAGCACCUGUCUUACAGUUCCCGAAGGCACCAAUCCAUCUCUGGAAAGUUCUGUAGAUGUCAAGGCCAGGUAAGGUUCUUCGCGUUGCGUCGAAUUAAACCACAUGCUCCACCGCUUGUGCGGGCCCCCGUCAAUUCAUUUGAGUUUUAACCUUGCGGCCGUACUCCCCAGGCGGUCAACUUAGUGCGUUAGCUGCGCCACUAAGGAUUCAAGAUCCCCAACGGCUAGUUGACAUCGUUUACGGCGUGGACUAC
RNAcentral lists this unclassified non-coding RNA (377 nucleotides) under uncultured Alteromonadales bacterium. Its description in RNAcentral is "contains 16S-23S intergenic spacer region". The record is from RNAcentral. Lineage: Bacteria; Pseudomonadati; Pseudomonadota; Gammaproteobacteria; Alteromonadales.